ACCUCGGAUCAGGUAGGGA
This 19-nucleotide ribosomal RNA is filed under the name Stereocaulon vesuvianum var. nodulosum. Its description in RNAcentral is "partial 28S ribosomal RNA". Lineage: Eukaryota; Fungi; Ascomycota; Lecanoromycetes; Lecanorales; Stereocaulaceae. The record is from RNAcentral.